CAUAAUUAUUGCGAUUGGCAAAAAAAGAAAAAAAAAAUCGCGAUAAAGUUGUCGUGGCGCAUCCGUUCCGUCCCGGAAUCUCUUCGACCGGGACAUAACAUAAAUAAAAGCUAUUGUUUUCCGGCUAGGAUGCUGAAUCAGUUCCUUUUCCGCAUGAAGAAACUGCGUAAUGGCAACAUCACCGAAGCAAAAAAGGUCGAAUUCCGUUCGACCAUCGGUCUUCAACGCCGUGGAAUGGCCCGUGUACACCAGCCGGGGCUAUUAUGGCUGGGAUCAGAACCAAAUUUGCGCUCAUCCCAUUUAAAUUAACAUCCGGACCAAUGGAGCUGAUACCUAAUCCUUGUACGUGAUGGAGCUUCGACUGCUGGCUGCGUUUUCGGUUAGCUGUUGCUUAGAAAAAAAAAUUUAAAAC
Uranotaenia lowii is the source of this 412-nucleotide long non-coding RNA. RefSeq lists it as uncharacterized. NCBI's taxonomy places the organism in Eukaryota, Metazoa, Arthropoda, Insecta, Diptera, Culicidae. The transcript has 3 exons. The record is from RefSeq and is a predicted model, not a curated record.